UACUGAUUCAUACUGUUGCUCUACAGUUUCUCUCUUAAGAUUGUGAGUUUCACUGCCAAUCAUAAAGAGUAUAAAAAGCUAUGAGCACAACUUGUUUGUAAUAACAACUAAUUCACGAUGGAAGGUUAUUAAUAACAACUAAUUCACGAUGGAAGGUUAUUGGCUAUUUCUUCCCCAGAAAAACAAGUGAUAGCUAGUGGGAAUUGUGAUAAAAAAUUUCAUUCAACUAGAAAAUCCCAUUAACUGCAUACCUG
RNAcentral lists this long non-coding RNA (254 nucleotides) under Gossypium barbadense (sea-island cotton). RNAcentral's name for it is "long non-coding RNA (GBAR_LNC007653)". Lineage: Eukaryota; Viridiplantae; Streptophyta; Magnoliopsida; Malvales; Malvaceae. The record is from RNAcentral.